RNAcentral lists this ribosomal RNA (854 nucleotides) under uncultured Verrucomicrobiota bacterium. Its description in RNAcentral is "bacterial SSU rRNA". It matches the Rfam family "Bacterial small subunit ribosomal RNA", at positions 58 to 889 of the family's 1533-position model. Lineage: Bacteria; Pseudomonadati; Verrucomicrobiota. The record is from RNAcentral.
CAAGUCGAGCGGGAUUUUUUCCUGUAGCAAUACAGGGAAAAAUCUAGCGGCGAACGGGUGCGUAACACGUGGGCAAUCUGUCUUAAAGUGGGGGAUAGCUCGGCGAAAGCCGAAUUAAUACCGCAUGUGAUCAGGGGCGACAUCGCUCCAAAAUCAAAGGUGGCGCAAGCUACCGCUUUUUGAGGGGCCCGCGGCCUAUCAGCUUGUUGGUGAGGUAACGGCUCACCAAGGCUAUGACGGGUAGCUGGUCUGAGAGGACGACCAGUCACACUGGGACUGAGACACGGCCCAGACACCUACGGGUGGCAGCAGUCGAGAAUUUUUGACAAUGGGGGAAACCCUGAUCGAGCGACGCCGCGUGGAGGAUGAAGGUCUUCGGGUUGUAAACUCCUGUCAUUUGGGAACAAGGCGCACGUAUUAACUGUACGUGCGUUGAUAGUACCAGAAGAGGAAGGGACGGCUAACUCUGUGCCAGCAGCCGCGGUAAUACAGAGGUCCCAAGCGUUGUUCGGAUUCAUUGGGCGUAAAGGGUGUGUAGGUGGCGCCGUAAGUCGGGUGUGAAAUUUCGGAGCUUAACUCCGAAACUGCAUUCGAUACUGCGGUGCUUGAGGACUGGAGAGGAGACUGGAAUUUACGGUGUAGCAGUGAAAUGCGUAGAUAUCGUAAGGAAGACCAGUGGCGAAGGCGGGUCUCUGGACAGUUCCUGACACUGAGACACGAAGGCCAGGGGAGCAAACGGGAUUAGAUACCCCGGUAGUCCUGGCAGUAAACGGUGCACGUUUGGUGUGGGAGGAUUCGACCCCUUCUGCGCCGGAGCUAACGCGUUAAACGUGCCGCCUGGGGAGUACGGUCGC